CUGCAGACCUUUCCAGCGAGGCUCAUCCUGUAGUGGUUCUGUCCUUUCCUGUUGUGUCUGCUAGAGACUGUUGAGGCAGUUUGAGGCCCUGCUGUGAGUCCACAUGCACGGCAGGGUUAUAGGUUAGCCUCAGACAUUA
Molecule: small nucleolar RNA, 139 nt
Organism: Cynoglossus semilaevis (tongue sole)
Lineage: Eukaryota; Metazoa; Chordata; Actinopteri; Pleuronectiformes; Cynoglossidae
Product: small nucleolar RNA SNORA9
Source: Ensembl